UUAACUAUUAUAUAGUACUCAGACGACACUAAUAAACAGAGUUUAGGGUCCUCUGGCGAGCGCUCACCAGCGUGAAGCCGGUGGCCGAAGCGGCUCGCCAAAGCAACAAAGGUAUAAUUAACAUAGGGUUGGAGAGUCACCCUUGCGGGCGAGUUUCUCUGUAAUGAUCCCUCCGCAGGUUCACCUACGGAGA
RNAcentral lists this unclassified non-coding RNA (193 nucleotides) under uncultured fungus. RNAcentral describes it as "sequence contains ITS1". Lineage: Eukaryota; Fungi. The record is from RNAcentral.